RNAcentral lists this small RNA (663 nucleotides) under Arabidopsis thaliana (thale cress). Its description in RNAcentral is "ATSL067770". Lineage: Eukaryota; Viridiplantae; Streptophyta; Magnoliopsida; Brassicales; Brassicaceae. The record is from RNAcentral.
GUUUUCACUUUUCAAAGACCAAGGUUUUGUUCUAGGGCAACUUGAACGUUAUAUCAUCUAUAUAUACAUUUUUGCAGUCAUUUUGUAAAAUAAAUCCUAGAGUUGGAACUUAUUUACAAUGGCUGCCACUGGCUUUUAAUUAUUAGUUUUUUCAGCAAUAAAUUGAUUAACAAACGAAAAACAUUCCAAAUAUAUUACAAUCCCAUAUAUCACGCAGAUUUUUCCAAAAUUUGAACUAGAUUUCGGUAAAUAUUUAAAACAAAAAAUGUUUGACAACCCAAAAGACAAUUGCAAUCCCUUAAAAUGAGCAAAACGCAACUAAAUACAUUUCUUAUCAAUUCACUAAAUCUUAUUUCUGCAAAAUUUGAACUAGAUUUCGAGAACUAUUUAAAACAAAAUUUUGUUUGACAAACUAAAACACGAUUGCAAUCCCGUAAAAUAUUUAUUUUAAUUAUAAAUUUAAAUUAGCAGGGUACCGCGGUUUUUUUUUACAGUACAGGUUUGGCGGAACGGGUUUGGAAGGACGUUACUUAAUAACAAUUGUAAACUAUAAAAUAAAAAUAUUUUAUAGAUAGAUAUAAUUUGCAAAAUUUUAUAUAUAUUAAUUUAAAAAAAUAAAUUGUCUCCACGGUGUACCGUGAGUUAAAAUCUAGUUAAACUAAU